This 433-nucleotide ribosomal RNA is filed under the name uncultured bacterium. RNAcentral's name for it is "partial 16S ribosomal RNA". It matches the Rfam family "Bacterial small subunit ribosomal RNA", at positions 29 to 507 of the family's 1533-position model. The record is from RNAcentral.
AACGAACGCUGGCGGCAUGCCUAACACAUGCAAGUCGAACGAGACCUUCGGGUCUAGUGGCGCACGGGUGCGUAACGCGUGGGAAUCUGCCCUUGGGUUCGGAAUAACAGUUGGAAACGACUGCUAAUACCGGAUGAUGACGUAAGUCCAAAGAUUUAUCGCCCAAGGAUGAGCCCGCGUAGGAUUAGCUGGUUGGUGAGGUAAAGGCUCACCAAGGCGACGAUGCUUAGCUGGUCUGAGAGGAUGAGCCGCCACACUGGGACUGAGACACGGCCCAGAAUCCUACGGGAGGCAGGAGAGGGGAAUAUUGGAAAAUGGGGGGAAGGCUGAACCAGCAAUGACGGGUGAGUGAUGAAGGCCUUAGGGUUGUAAAGCUCUUUUAUCCGGGACGAUAAUGACAGUACCGGGAGAAUAAGCUCCGGCUAACUCCGUG